GUUGUGAAUUUCAUGGAUCUGUGAUUGCUGGUGGGGGAGCACGGUCAAGUGCAAAGGUUUAUUAAAUGAAUUGUUAUUUUUAUUUUUUUUGUUUUAUGUUGAGUUUCAUAAAUAUAUUCAUAGAGUUAGGUCUAUUUAUGAAUCACCAACUAAUGAUAUGUGGUUUUUCGUUUUCUUUUUUGGCUGUGUUUGUUUUCAAUUGCAUUGAACAACAUGCUCAUGCUCAUGGUGUUCAUGCAUCAAAGAG
Molecule: long non-coding RNA, 247 nt
Filed under: Salvia miltiorrhiza (redroot sage)
Lineage: Eukaryota; Viridiplantae; Streptophyta; Magnoliopsida; Lamiales; Lamiaceae
Description: long non-coding RNA (SMIL_LNC012503)
Source: RNAcentral